CGUUAAUAACAUAUUCUUCCCUCUUUCCUUCCAUACCUAAAGAGCCUCUUUGUCAAUCUGGUCAACAUGCCAGACACCGUGUUUGUCACAGGUUUUGCAAUGGAUCUCACGUCCCAAACCCUUAGAUGUUCAUAAUAGCUACUGGUCAGCAAGAUAUAACUUGGACUCUUUGCAAUGUAACGGAUGCCUAUUGCAUGAACUUCCGUAUUGUGGUAAGCUAACUUACAAGGAUCAUCUCACAAAUCCCAGCAACUGAAUUUGCAGUCAUCCUGAGUUCCUGACAGUGCACAAAGCAGCUGUGGCUGGUGGAUAUCAAAAGAGGCAGCCAAAGCUCAUAAUCAUGUGCUUUUCAGUCUUAGGAAAUACUUAGUUGAGAUUCAAGGAUUGAUGUUACUACACGUAUUUAUGACAUAUCUCUAGCAAAUCGAUCCCUACAAGAAACAGAAGACCUUGUCAUGGAAGUACUUCAGUUAUUUCCUCAAUAAAAGGUAAACUUUUUGAAA
Long non-coding RNA from Nicotiana tabacum (common tobacco), 503 nucleotides. RefSeq lists it as uncharacterized. The record is from RefSeq and is a predicted model, not a curated record. NCBI's taxonomy places the organism in Eukaryota, Viridiplantae, Streptophyta, Magnoliopsida, Solanales, Solanaceae.